CAAUAGCGUAUAUUAAAGUUGUUGCGGUUAAAAAAGCUCGUAGUUGGAUUUCUGCCGAGGACGACCGGUCCGCCCUCUGGGUGAGUAUCUGGCUUGGCCUGGGCAUCUUCUUGGAGAACGUAGCUGCACUUGACUGUGUGGUGCGGUAUCCAGGACUUUACUUGAGGAAAUUAGAGUGUUUCAAGCAGGCGCACGCCUUGAAUACAUUAGCAUGGAAUAAUAAGAUAGGACCUUGGUUCUAUUUUUGUUGGUUUUCUAGAGCUGAGGUAAUGAUUAAUAGGGAUAGUUGGGGGCAUUCGUAUUUAACUGUCAGAGGUGAAAUUCUUGGAUUUAUGAAAGAUGAACUUCUGCGAAAGCAUUUUGCCAAGGAUGUUUUCAUUAAUCAAGAACGAAAGUUAGGGGAUCGAAGAUGAUU
RNAcentral lists this ribosomal RNA (415 nucleotides) under uncultured eukaryote. Its description in RNAcentral is "SSU rRNA". It matches the Rfam family "Eukaryotic small subunit ribosomal RNA", at positions 592 to 1009 of the family's 1831-position model. The record is from RNAcentral.